GAGGAGGAAGACCAACCACAACAGGCAUCCCAGGGUGCUCGUUGUCACCUAUCUGGUACCCGUGGUGUUGUACGUGGCUGGGGGGAAGAACAUACCUUCAUUGAGAUCACUGAGGAGGAGGAACGGAAAAUGAGUAGCUCGGCAUCCAACCUUGUGCAAAUGGGGUCUUUCAUGCUGUCGUGCCUGUUGAGGGACCCUCGUAUAAAAAGGCUGAAGGAGAACGACCUGUACUGGGUGUCCACGCUAAUAGACCCCCGGUAUAAGCAGAAAGUGGCUGAAAUGUUACCAAAUUACAACGAGUCGGAAAGGAUGCAGCAUUUGCAAAAUAAAUUAAAAACUAUGCUUUACAUAGCGUAUAAGGGUGAUGUCACAGCACAACGGGAAUCUAACAGGGGAAGAGGUGAAAGUAAUCCUCCUCCUCCCACGACCACGCCGGCAAGGACAGGACGCUUUACAGAUGUGUUGUUGAUGGAGGACAUGCGG
Non-coding RNA from Pelobates cultripes (western spadefoot toad), 483 nucleotides. The record is from the annotation of a GenBank genome assembly. NCBI's taxonomy places the organism in Eukaryota, Metazoa, Chordata, Amphibia, Anura, Pelobatidae.